This 253-nucleotide ribosomal RNA is filed under the name uncultured bacterium. Its description in RNAcentral is "partial 16S ribosomal RNA". It matches the Rfam family "Bacterial small subunit ribosomal RNA", at positions 524 to 776 of the family's 1533-position model. The record is from RNAcentral.
UACAGGGGGUGCAAGCGUUACUCGGAAUUAUUGGGCGUAAAGAGCGUGUAGGCGGUUCGUUAAGUCUGAUGUGAAAGCCCUGGGCUCAAUCCAGGAAGUGCAUCAGAUACUGGCAAACUAGAGUGCAGGAGAGGUGAGCGGAAUUCCAGGUGUAGAGGUGAAAUUCGUAGAUAUCUGGAGGAACAACAGUGGCGAAGGCGGCUCACUGGACUGUAACUGACGCUAAGGCGCGAAAGCGUGGGGAGCAAACAGG